AAAAUGCCACUGGGAGAAAACCCAACAUCUUCCAAGCAUGAAAUCUGAAAACACGGCCUGAAUCAUCAGCAUGACAAAUUACAAAGCAUAAUAACUAGCUCAAACUCCAUAAGAAAAUGUCAUUUACCAUAAUACCAAGAAAACUCUAACCGUCUGUCUGGUUGCUGAGAGCAUUAAGUAAAACACAUGAAAAUAAAAUGCUAAACGACAUGUUUUACUCUGUUUUAGUUUCACAAAAAGCAAACCAAACAUCAACUAAGUGAAAUAGAUGUAGUCACCUCACCUAUGAAAGGAUAUAUGAUUCAUUUCCUCCCAGGUUCCUAACCAUGAAAAACCACUCAUAAAUAAUCAGAUUCUUUUUUCCUUUUCCUUUCCUCCAUUUUUCUCUGCAACCAAAUACAACUAAGUAGACUCAGGCAUGCACUUCAACAGAACAAAGCACAACUAUGGAAAUCUGGGGAAUUCACAACUACGCACUCUGACUCCCAGAUCUACCACCAACAAAAAUUCAAACUGAAAACAUAAAAAAGAAAAGAAAAACAACGCCAAAGAUAAAAAGAAUUAAGAAUAUCAUCACCUUCAUGAUUGUUUUCAGUUUGUUCUUGUGUAUCUUUUGUUUGUUUUAUUGCUAAUUUAGUGGAUCUUUUGUGUUCGAGUCAUUUUCUAGUUUGUUAGUAGAGUUAAUAUUCAGCUAGAUUAUUGUUCUAGGCAGUAGUUAGGGUGUCUUGAGGGAAAAUCAAGGCCUCACCUUAGAUUUUUCUAACCUCAUUGAUAAGCAUAGUCCUAGUUAGCUUAUUAGCAACUUCUAUUACCUUAUAAAAUGAAGCUGAGUAGCGCUGUACAAGGAGUAAGGGACAGUUCUUGAACACCGAAGGGUUCUACAUUCCUUUCUCGCAUACACUCUGCACAAUACUUCUUUGUUUUAAGGUGCAGAGUUAGACUUUUAACAGCCAUGAAAGACUCCAAAUAAGCCACAUUUAAUCUUAGGAAUUGAAUAAGAUGCUACUCAGGUUCAAAGAGAGUGUCAAGGUCUCUUCUGCUAAGGUGAUAGUCGAGGUUCAACAAUGUUUUCCCAAAAAUAUUUUCUUUCCAAUCCUUCUUGCAUCCUGUCCAACUGAUUCUGUUGCUUCCGUAUUCUUUGGAUAGUUUGUACAACCUGUAUGACUUCUAACGUCACGGGCAUGAAAUUCCUACACAACCUUUUGCAUCUCUGCAGUGCUUAGAAGCCCUCUAAGCCAACCUGCACUUCCCAUAUGAGAUGUCAAUAAGGAACAACCCACAAAAGCACACACGAGAUUAGAGGGCUCCAAUCCCAACUUGUAUUUUAUUUCUUGUGUGAAUAAUAACACAAGACAUUGUUUAGCAAGACUCCUACAAUAGCACUAACGAGUCCAUACUUCCUCGUCUGCAUCCUAAGAGACUCUCCUGUCCCCUUCUUAUAGGUAUGGCACCCCCUAUUCCCUACUUGACUAGGAGUACAGAUUCCUAGUUCUACUCAAACUCUUACUCAUAGGCUGUGGCACCAACCACUCCUCUUUGGACUAGGGACAAGCAAUCCUAGUUCUACUUAGACUACAAUUACAAGAAGAAUUUGAAUUCCUACUCAAACUCAAAUUGCAGUCCCACUUCAAGUCUGACUCUUCAUGUUGCUGCUGCUUGCAUCACAAUGUGGCUCAUGUGCAUGUCAAGCCCUCUCUUGGCUUUCACAUCUAGAUCACAUCCAUGCCGAGGCAACAUGAAGAUGCAUUCGUCUUGUUGUUGCUAUGGAUCCGUGCCUUGCCCAAGCCCUCUCCUUGGUGCAGCGAUGUGUCAUGGCAUUACACCAAUGACUCUUUUUCAUGCACAAGGCAUUGGGCCCUUGUGCCAUGCAUUAAGCAUAAUAUCUAAGUCAGCAUCAUUGCUAUUGCAUCGUUAUUCCUUGCUUAAGCCUUCUUCUUGGUGCAACAAUGUGUCAUGACAUUGCAUCCAUGGCUCACAAAGUUGCCUCUUUGCACAAGGAAUUGAGCCCUUAUGCCACCUUGUCGUUGUGAUAGGUAACUCAUGGAACCAAUGUGCUAUCUCAUGAGGCCUUGGUGCCACAACCAUUGUGUCAAGGGGCUAACAAACCACCCCCACCUGCUGUAGUUGAUGCCCUGUCGACUUAGAUUGUAGGUAGGCCUAGAUUGCCUCCUCAAAUUGCCAUUACAUAACAUCCCACUCCUAAUUGGCUUUUGAUUUAGGACUGCCCUUCCUCUAAACUAGAAAAUCUGUUCUAGAAUUUUUCUUGCUCAUCCCCAUUGUUUGAUGAUCCAAUAUCCUCUCAGCCUCGCAAUUAAACCACCUUCUGAUCACAAGUAGAGCACAGUCUGCCUAUAUCUUUCCUAGAAUCAAAUCUUCAGGGUAAGGCUUCAAGAAACUCACGUGUAUUAUAGGAUGUAUCUUUAGCUUGUUUGGUAGCUUAAUCCUAUAAGCUACUUAACCCACCAUUUGCAUUACUUCAAAGGGUCCAUCAUACUUAGGGAUCAAACCCCUCUAUGCAGUCUUGAUGUUGAUUUUCUUCCAAAUCUGAGGCAUUAAUUUUAGAAGGACCUUGUCCUUGAUCUAAAAUUCCAAGGGUCUUCUACCCUUGUUUGUAUACUUUUGCAUCCUUCUCGCUACCUUCUUUAAGCUCUUAUGAGCUUCAUCAAGCAUUUCUUGUCCGGACCAUAUAUAUCUAUAAGUUAUUGGACAAGCACCUCCAGACUUCUACUUGGCCACCUCUAAGGGCAUGAUUGGUUGCUACCCUAUGGCCAUUUCUAAGGGAAUUUUCCCUAUUUUUGAACUCUUCUGCAAAUUUUAGGACAAUUGAGCUACAUUUACCAAAUCAAUUCAAUUCUUCUAUAUUGCAUAAACAUAGUGUCUUAGGUACUCUUUUAACAAAGUGUUGAUACCCUUUGUUUGCCUAUCUGUUUGUGAAUAAUUCGUUGUAGGGAAUUUCAACUUUGAACCUAGGAGUUUGAAUAGUUCAAUUUAGAAGAGUCUAACGAAUCAUGCAUCACGAUCACUAACAAUAUCUUUAGGCAUUCUGAAAUACUUGACCACAUGGCUAAAGAACAACCUAGCUGCUUCCUUCGUGAGGCAAGCAUGUGGUGUAGGUAUGAAAACAACGUAUCUGAGAAUCUAUUUACUAUCAUGAAGAUAUAUUUUAAUUCUUCCACUUUUGAAAAGCCAUCAAUGAAGUUCAUUGAACAUAUUUUCUCAAGGUCUCUUUAGGAUGGGUAGAGGUUAUAGUAACCCUGUUGUUUUUUGUUUUUUGUCUUGUCUAACUAGCGUACCAAACAAGACCUUAUAUACACUUAGCCACCAUAUCCCAUCUUUAGCCAAUAAUAGGACCUAGAGUGUAAUGCCAAAUUUUGUUCUUCACUAGGAUAUCCUAUCCAUUUCUUAUCAUAGGUCUCUUUUAAUAGCUUCUUCCCCAAGUUGUUUCCUGGUAUGCAUAGUCUGCCUCCUUUAUCCACCAAGAGGUCAUCCUCUAACCAAUAUUUUCUAGUGGAACCAUCUCUAACAUGUUGCCUUAUUUUCUCAUAGGUCGGAUCAAGCUUGGUUGCCUACUUGAUCCUAUCAUUGAAGUUAGAGAUCACAUGUGAUGGUGUCAUCACAUACUUUGUUAUUUCCUUCUAGCUUAAGGCAUCCUUAACUACAUCAUGUCUUCUUGGUCAAUGCAUCCAUUUGAAUUUAAAGUCGACCAAGAACUCUUACCAUCCAGCCUACUUCAAGCUCAACUUCUUCUAGGUCUUGAAGAAGGUGUUAGCCACGAUGUUUGUGACUAUAGUAAAUAUACUCCCUAAAAUAAUGUUUCCACUAUUACAAGCAAUGGAUAACUACAAUCAUCUCCUUCUCGUGAGUGGAGUACCUUUGCUCUGCCUCAUUGAGCUUCCUACUUUCAAAGGCUACUGAGUGCCUUUCUUACACCAAGACCAAGACCCUUCCUAAGGCCCUCACAAAUGCAUCUGUGUGAACAUCAAAGUGGAGGUCCAAGUCUGGCAAAUGUAGUACCCGAUCGGUCUCAAUCACCACUUUUAGUUUCUCAAAAUCUUUAUGGCACUUUAUGCCCCAAUCCUAACGAGCACCCUUCUUCAAAAAGUCCUAUGAACCUUCAGUAGUAGUUUGCUAACCUUAAGAGGUCUUAAUUAUAUCAUUUUACCUACAACAAACCAAUCUCUAAUGGCUUGGACUUUAACUUCAUCCAUAUUAAUUAAUCCUUCCCCUAUCUUAUGUCCUAGAAAGGUGAUCUACCUCUAUGUAAACUGACAUUUUCCCCUUUCCACGUAGAGUUUGUACUCUAUCAAUCUUUGGAACACUAAUUUUAGGUGGUUUGAAUCCUCUUGCAAAGUCUUACUAUAGGUAACAACAUCAUCUAAAUAGACCACAAUAAAGGCAUCAAGGUACUUGUACACCAUAUCGUUUAUCAUGUUGCAGAAUGUCACUGAGACAUUGGUCAGUCCAAAUGACAUCACGAGGAACUCAUAUGAUCCAUAGUGGGUUAUACAUAUGGUCUUCUCCUUGUCCUCCUUUUCAAUCCUUACUUGUUAGUAUCUUAGCCACAAGUACAGUUUAGAGGAAAAUGUUGUCUUGGCCAAUUUAUUGAAUAACUCUUUCUUAAAGGGGAUUAGAUAUUUAGUCUUGAUUGUAACCUUGGGUAAGGCUUUGUAAUCGAUACACAUCCAUAGGGUUCCAUCUUGAUUCUUUUGGAAUAGGAUAAGGGCAUAGUAGGGAGCCUUAAAAGGUUUGAUCAAAGUUGUAUCCAAUAGCUCAUUUAAUUGCUUUCUUAAUUCCAACAAUUCAAAGAAGACAUCUGAUAUGGGAUCUAUGUAGGAGGCUAGGUUCCUAGUAGCAUCUCGAUCUUAUGGUCUAUAUGGCACUUAAGAGACAACUCCUUAGGUAGUUCCACAAGUAUCAUAUCUUUAAAUUCCUUCAGAAUUUGAGUCAUUAUAUUUAGCACUUCCACUAGUUAGUUUGUCUUGUUCUCAACUAAGGUUGUAACAUAUGUGAUGUCCCCAUACUUCGACCCUUUCUUUAUUUAAAGGGCAAUCACCAUCUCUAUCGGUCCUUUCCCCGUUCUCGUUUCCCAUAAAGUAGGCACAAAACAAAGUUGACUCCCUUCCAUGAUCAUCAACCCACCAAGGUGUGGGAACAGGGCCACCUUUGCCUUGAGGAAAAAGCCGAUCCCCAAGAUCAAGUCGAAGUCAUCUAAGGGCUCACAAAGUAAGCUAUAGUUGCCCUUCCAAUCUCCUACUUGUGAGACUUCCUUAUAAAUGUCAUUAAUUCUUUAGUCUUUGUUAUUUACUGCCUUGAUCCAACCGGUAUCUUGUUCCAACCCUAACUUUGUUGAAUCCCUGCUAGCCACAAAGUUGUGGGUUUCUCCCCACUAUCCAUGAUUACUUUCACCCGUAUGCCAUUCACCAAAACCUGGACAUGCAUCAACCCUUUUUCGAUAGGGGCAUCAAUGUGGAUCUCAUUCAAGAGUUGCAGAGGAUUGACUCUUAAAGGCACAUUCAAGUUUGAGUCACCACUACCUUUCGCAAUCACAAGGGUCGAUAACUUCUCCCUCUUCAGAUAAUCCUUGGCGGCACAAUAAGAGCCAUUAUAGAUGAAACAACUCAGGUUUUGGAUGUCUAUUGUCGGGACUUGGUGGUUUUCUCCACUUGUUAUGGCUCUACUAUGGACUUCUUUGAAUUCUUCCAACCUGACUUCUUAAAAGAAUUUCCCUCUGCCUUGGUUCUCUUUGUUCCCCCUGACUUGUGUUUCUAAUCAAUGGAAGUGGCAGCAACCAUGCAUCUUGUAGUUCACCAAACAAUCUACUACAGUCAUUACACCAGGAAGGUCACAUACCUCUCGCCUUCACAAUUUGGUUUAGACUAACCCCUAUAGCCUAAACAUGAAGUUAAAAAAUUUAUCUUCCUCAGACAUAUUUUUAAUAUCCAAGAUCAAAGAACUAAAUUACUUGACAUAUUCCUAUAUUGAACUAGUGUGUCUUAGUUUUUUUAGUUAUUCUCGAGCCAACCAUGUCAUGUUGGUGGGGAUGAAUUAAUUCUUCAAUUUCUUCUUUAGACUCCCAAGUGGCGAUCUAGGGCCUUCUUAACUUUGCAUUGUACUCAGCAUUGGUCCACCAUCAUAGCUUCAGAUCAUUAGGUACAUACUGGUGAUAGUGACCAUCUACGUCUCACGGAUUCGAGUAACUUUAAAAUAUUACUCCAUAUCUGUAAGAAGUUUUCUAGUUCCUUGGCAUUCCAACUUGUUGCCAUUGAAACCCUUUGGUUUUAGGAUAUGAAUUUUGGGAGAGGCUUCCAAACUAGAGUGAGGUUCUUGCAACACGAUCUUAUGAAGGAUCACUAUAGAUUGUAUAAUGGUCAAGAAGUCAUCUAGUAAGGCUUUCACUUUUGGCCUUUGAACCUGCCACCUUGUUCUCAAUGAAUUGGUCGUGGGACUCUAACAAAUUCCGUUAUACUAGGAUUUCUUCCUCAGUGUGGUUUGCCUUUAGGGACAUAAUGCCCUUAUCACCUUACAAUUCUCCUAACAAUUCUUCCAAUCACAACAUCUUUUCUCUCGAGUCACUAUAGUAAUUCCCCCACCCAUUUGCUUGUUGGACUUUGAUAUCAAUGGUCACGAGCACGAAAUUCUCACACAACUUUUCGCAUCUGUGAGGAGCUUAGAAGCCCUCUAAGCUAACUUGCACUUCUCACACGAGAUGGCAACAAGGAACAACCCAUAAAAGCACAUAAAAGAUUACGGGGUUUCAACCCUAAUUUGUAUUUUAUUUCCUCACUGAAUAAUAAUAUAAAACAUUGUUUAGCAAGACUCCCACAAUAGCAUUAGUAAGUUCACGCUUCCUCUCUUAUAUCCUAAGAGGCUCUCCCAUCCCCUUCUUAUAGGUGUGGCACCACUCACUCCCUAUUUGACUAGGAAUACAUGAUCAUAGUUCUCCUACCACCAACCACUCCUCCUUGUACUAGGGACAAGUAGUCCUAGUCUUACUCAGACUACAAUUUUAAUAAGUAUUUGAAUUCCUACUCAAACUAAAAUUUCAAUCCCAUUUUGAGUUUGACUCUUCAUGUUGCUUUGCUUGCAUCCCAAUGCGGUGUGUGUGCGUGCUAAGCCCUCUAUUGGCUUGCAUAUCUAGAUCACGUCCAUGUUGAGGCAACAGAUCACAUCCAAAUCCACCUUGUUGUUGUUAUGGCUCCUUGUAUUGCCCAAACCCUCUUCUUGGUGUAGUAACGUGUCAUGACAAUGCACCAAUGACUUUUUUUCUAUGCACAAGUUAUUGGGCACUUGUGCCAAGGGUCAAGCAUCCUAUCUGAGUUGGCAUUAUUGCUGCCCUCUGACCUUUAAGGAAGAAAAAGGUCGUUCUGGCAAGCAUUGUUACUGGAAAAUUUGAAAGUUCUUAGUAAUCAGUUUCCUAUAUCAUCGUCUACUUGCUUGGUACUAAAGUAAUUAAUCGUUAAGCAUUCUAGAAGGUUUAGUCAUUUGCUAGUUCUCAAUAUUAAUGUUUAAACAAAAAACUAUCCAAACACCUCCUCAUGUAACCUCUUUAGCAAAAGAUCUCAAACCUAAUGUAACUAAAAUGGGAGUCUAGUCUUUAAAUCUCUUCUAUUUUGAAUUUGCAAACAAAAGGCCCUUCAAAUUUUAUAAGAGAAGAAUAGGAUGGUUCUAACACCCAAACAUUAAUUGGGGAUAGAAAUGAGAAUUUAAGCUCCUUUUGGAAUUUUAUGUAGUUGAUUUAGGUCUCAGCAUAUGCUUAUUUUAACUAGGGUAGUUAAUUUACUAAUCUCCAUAUCAAUGGUAUAUGGACUACAUUGGUAGUCCAUGGUCCUUUUAAUUUAGAGUCUUAUAUUUGUUAUUAGGGUUGAUUUGGUAGUUUACUUCUUUGCCAAUUUCUAUUUCUUUUAGCUCCUAAUGAAGAAAUAUUCUCAUAACUACAUAUAUAGAUCAAACUUGUAAUUCUUGUUUCUCUAACUAGGUUUGAUUCUUCAACUUGUUCCUCUUGGAUUUCUUCUACCCUUUACUUUUUUCCUACUAGAGGGUUGGUUCAUUGACACCUCAACUCAAGAAUGGAAUAUCAGAUUUUUGAAAAUGGUUUCCCGGAAUGUAAUGGACAUAAUUCAAGGUUUGGUUACCGUCACAAAUUUGAAAUUCUAGACAAUGUUCAUUCUCAUUCUGAUAUUUGGUUAUAUGAGGAAUUAUGUUGGAACUAAUCCAUAUUUACGAAAUUGUUUUUUAAAUGAUAUUAAAAAGAAUUAUUUUUAUUUAUAUAAAAGAAUCUAUGGUGUAUACUUAUAGCAUUGAAAAGUUUUUUGAGUUCUAUAAUAAGAAAUGAUUUCCAAUUAUAAUAAUCAAUUGACAUGAUCAUCAUCAGUCAAUUAUCUUGCUAACCCACAAUUUUCUUAACAAAUAAUAAUAAUCCACGCUUGCAAACAACAAAAACUUCACAAUAUUUAGUAAUAUCAAUCCAACAAAGCUAAUAUGAAACACAAAACUUUAUGACAUGGAUAUAAUAACUUCAGCUAUGAGGAGGUUUGUGGAAGUUGUAGAUGAUCUAGGCCUUGUGGACCUUCAAUUGCAAGGGGGUGCAUUCACGUGGACUGGGGGUCUAAAUAAUAUGUCAAGGGCUCGUCUAGAUAGAUUUCUGGUCUCUCCUUGCUGGCUUGAUCAGUUCAGUAGGGUGAGCCAAUAGAGACUUCCUAGGCCAAUUUCGGACCACUUUCCAAUAUUACUUGAGGGGGUAGUUGGAGGAGAGGGCCUACCCCCUUCAGAUUUGAAAAUAUGUGGUUCAAAGUCGAGGGGUUUAAGGAAUUAAUACGGAGUUGGUGGUAGAGAAUAGAGGUCAGGGGUAGUACCAGUUUUAGAUUAUCGGCGAAAUUGAAGGAUCUGAAGCAGAAGCUUAAAGUUUGGAAUAGGGAGGAGUUUGGUAAUCUGGAAAGCAAUAAGGAGGCUGCGAUUUAGCAAGUGGAGUAUUAGGACAGAGUAGAGGAUGAAAGGAGCUUGUCAAUGGAGGAAUUAGCUUGUAAGAAGGAAGCCAAUGAGGAGUAUGCCAAGUGGGUUGAUCUGGAAGAAACUCACUGGAGGCAGGCGUCUAGGGAACUUUGGUUGAAGGCAGGUGAUAGGAAUACGAGAUACUUCCACCGUAUGGCGUCUGCCCACAGGAGAAUUAAUCACAUGGAUAGAAUUAAAAUAAAUGGGAUUAGGCUGACAGAGGAGCGAGAAAUUAGAGAGGGGGUUGUAAAUGCUUUUAAGCAGCAAUUUUCCGAGAGUUCAGGGUGGAAGGCGGACAUUGGAAGCCUCUCUUUUAAUCAAAUUUGUGUGCAAGAGGCAGAGAUGCUGGAGGCUCCCUUCUUUGAGGGUGAAGUCCAGCUGGCCCUGAUGGAAAUGAAUGGGGAUAAAGCCCCAGGUCCUGACGGGUUCUCUGUUUUCUUUUGGCAAUGCUGUUGGGAUUUCGUCAAGGAGGAAAUUCUGGAGAUGUUUAAGGAGUUCCAUGACCAGAAUACGUUCUUCAAGAGUAUUAACAACACCUUUCUGGUGCUGAUUCCUAAGAAAGGAGGGGCUGAGGAUUUUGGAGAUUUCAGGCCCAUCAGCCUUUUGGGGGGCCUCUAUAAGCUGUUGGCAAAGGUGUUGGCCAACAGACUUAAGAAAGUGAUAGAUAAAGUAGUUUCCCAUGAUCAGAAUGCGUUUAUUAAGGGUAGGCAGAUUCUUGACGCUUCUCUAAUAGCAAAUGAAGUGAUUGACAAUUGGAAUAAGAAAGGGGACAAGGGGGUUAUCUGCAAGUUAGAUAUAGAGAAGGCCUAUGACAGCAUUAAUUGGCAAUUCCUCUUGAAAGUCAUGGAAAAAAUGGGAUUUGGCGCUAAGUGGCUGAGGUGGAUGUGGUGGUGUAUUUCCACAGCCAAAUUUUCAGUUAUGGUGAAUGGAACAUCAGCUGGCUUCUUCUCGAGUUCUAAAGGACUGCGUCAAGGGGAUCCCCUGUCCCCUUACCUUUUUGUCAUGGGGAUGGAGGUGCUAAGCGUCCUAAUCAGAAGGGCUAUGGAGGGGGGUUUCAUCUCAGGGUGCAAAAUUCAGCGUGAUAGAGGUUGGGCUGUCCACAUUGCUCAUCUGCUUUUCGCCGAUGACACUAUUGUCUUUUGUGAGGCAAAGAAGGAGUACUUAACGAAUUUAAGUUGGAUCUUGUUCUGGGUUGAAGCUGCGUCCGGAUUAAGAAUUAACUUGGCUAAAAGCGAGGUCAUUCCAGUAGGGGAGGUGAAAAGGAUAGAGGAGAUGGCUGUGGAGUUAGGGUGUAGGGUGGGGCAGCUUCCGUCUGUGUAUUUGGGGCUGCCGCUGGGGGUGCCUAAUAAGGCUACAUAUGGAUGGGAUGGGGUGGAAGAGAAAAUGAGAAGGAGGCUUGCUCUUUGGAAGAGUCAAUAUAUCUCAAAGGGUGGGAGAAUCACUCUAAUUAAAAGCACUAUGGGUAGCAUGCCAGUGUACCAGAUGUCGUUAUUCCGUAUGCCCAUUUCUGUGGCAAGAAGAUUAGAAAAAUUGCAAAGAGACUUCUUGUGGGGGGGACCUCAUGGAGAGGAAAACACAUCUGGUUAAGUGGGAUGUAGUGUGUGGGGAUAAGGAGAAUGGGGGGUUGGGAAUAAGGAAGUUUACUAUCAUGAAUAAAGUGUUUCUUGGCAAGUGGACUUGGAGAUUCGCUUCGAAUAAGGAGGCCUUUUGGAAGCAUGUGCUGGAGGCUAAGUAUGGUCAGGAGGAUUAUGGUUGGAGGACCAAAAAGGUUGUGGGUGCGUGUGGUGUGGGGGUGUGGAAGGAGAUCUUAAAGGAAGCUGGCUGGUGCUGGGAUAAAAUGGGGUUUAAUGUGGGGAAAGGUAUUAAAAUCAGUUUCUGGACUGAUGUGUGGUGCGGGGAUGCAGCGCUGUCCCAAAGGUUCCCGCAUCUCUACACCUUGGCGGCCAACAGAAAUGCAAAGGUUGAAGACCUGUGGGACCAGAAUGUUGGGAAAGGAGGCUGGAAUUUGUGUUUUAUAAGGGAUUUCAAUGAUUGGGAGGUGGAGUUGGUAGGUGAGUUGCUCCAAGCGUUGAGAGGAGUCAGGAUAACUUGGGAGGAUGAUUCAGUUUUUUGGAAGGGAGGGGGAAGUGGGCAGUUUAGAGUGAAGGAUGCGUACAGCUGGCUGGAUAGGGUCUAUGGAUGUCAAUUUUCNNNNNNNNNNNNNNNNNNNNNNNNNNNNNNNNNNNNNNNNNNNNNNNNNNNNNNNNNNNNNNNNNNNNNNNNNNNNNNNNNNNNNNNNNNNNNNNNNNNNGAAGCGACUUGGGGAAAGAUCUUGACUCUUGAUAGGCUCCAAAAAAGAUGUUGGCAGCUCCUGAAUAGGUUUUUUUGUGUGUUUGCGAAGCGGAAAGCGUGGAUCACUUACUUAUUCAUUGUACAGUGGCUAGAGUGCUUUGGGAUUUAGUGUUGGGCUUAGUUGGGAUCAAGUGGGUGUUCCCUAAUACUGUAAAGGAGGUUUUAUAUAGUUGGGGAGGGGGGGGGGGGGGUUCUUUUGUGGGGAAAAAAAAAAAAAAAAUUCUGGAAUUCCAUUCCGUUAUUCAUUUUUUGGAUGGUCUAAAAGGAAAGGACUAUAUUAACCUUUAGGGGGGAGGGGGAACCUAACAAUUUAAAGGUUUAAAUAUUCUUUUGUUUGUAAUAUUUGGGGUUGGGCUAAAUUGUAUAUGGAAGAGGAGCCGCAUUCCCUUUUAGAUUUCCUGGAGUGGUUUGCCUCCAGUUGAGGGGUGGUUUGUUUUUUUUUGGUUUUUUUGUUUGUUUUGGCCUUUGUUGCCUGGUAUUCGUCCUGUAUACGUUGGGGUUUUUUGCCUCUUUAAUGAAUUGUGCUUGCUUAUCAAAAAAAAUAAUAAGAAAUAAUAUCAAAUUUAGCAAUUGAUGGACAUUAUCAUUAAGUCACCAUUCCAAAUACCAAUAUUACAUUUAAUAAAUAGUAAAAAAUUCAAUAACUAAAUGUAAAAAAAUUAGUAAUAAAUAUAUAAUUUUAAUAUAUUUUUAGUAAUGUAAUAAGAAAUGACCUUUAAGUAUCAUAAUUGUUGGAAAUUAAAUCACUCCCAAACCAUAUAUAUAUAUUCGAUAAGCAAAUAUUAAUGUACUCAAUCUUAUAGACAACAAAAAAAUCCAUGAAAGUUAUGACAUCAAUCUAGCAAGGCUAACCUAGAAAAUAAAAUAUUCAUUUUUCAAAACCACUCAAAAUAAAAACUAAAAGUAGUUUCAAAUUUAUCAUAAUCAAAGUGCGUGAUCACUAACCAAUCUUACAAAACCACUCAAGAGGCGAACUAAAAAUAAUAUUGAUAUUUUUUAACAAAUGAUAAUAAAUCUCACAAAACAACAAAGUAUCCACAAAAUUUAAUAGGAAAAAAGCUCAAAUAUGAAUAUUUUUCUUUGAAGAAAUAAUAUAACCGAACAAAAUUGAUGUUAUAAAUAAAUUUAAAAAAAUAGAGCUCAAAAUACCUAUCUUUCAUAUGGCAACUCCUUUGUCAGUCAUGUGUUGGAACAUGUGACUAUAAUUAUCUCUUCUUUUUCUUUCUUUUGUUCGAGGAAUUUAAGAAUGGUACAAGCUUCUCUUUUCUUUUAUUUCUAUUCCCAGGUAUUGGACUUAAGGAAUGGUAGAGAAAGGCAUGUAAUCUCCUUCAAUUUGAGCAGAUCUCAUCUCUAAAUAAUUAAAAUACCCCAAGUAUGAUGCUUCCAAAUGUUGUAACUUUAUAGAUAAGUCAAAUUCUCAAGAAAACACAUCUCCAAAGGAGUCAAUAUGAGACCAACUUGAGACCAGAGCUCUAGGUUGUGCCAUAACACUGAUCUCAAGUGUCCGAAUAGACAACUGAUGGAGUAAUUGCGAAAAAGGAUGAAUUGCACAAAACUGAAACAUCAAGAGCCCAUGUCCUAUUAGCUGAAAAUGAUCUAUUUUCUUAUUCAAAAAUAAUAAUGAGGACUUUUAGCUGUGUAAACACCAACCCCUCCCUUUUAGCUGAUCCAAAGUUAAUUCUUCCCUAUGAAGGUUCCCAAGCCAAAAAGCUAACCCUCCUUGAGGACCCAAGGGUUCCACACAAUGCCUCAAGGGAACACAUUGAGUCUACAGAUAGGGGCGAGUAAUAAGAUUUAGCUAUAAAGAUGUCUCCCUUUGAUACCUACCAAACCAUGAAAUCAUCAAAACCCCCUUCUAAUUGCGUGCCCUUGCAACCUUCUUUCCACCUCUCCCAUCUCACAACCAAUAUUUUUUGAAAAAUGCAAGUUAAAGUUUCCUCAGUUAUCAUGCAUUUUUUUCUCACUCAUUCACAUUGUUGUGUCGUAUUGUUGCCAACAACUAGCACGAUAUUUCAAGCUUGCUCCUAACAUCUCCAACAUAUACACAAACCAUAGUUCAAGUUUUAGCUGAAACUGAUCAAUACCAAUUUUGGCAAGGGGAGAUAUGGAACCAUGUCUUAAUACAAGGAUAUGCAAGUGAAUUCUGUUAAUGCAAAGUUCAAAGCAAUGUACAAAUUAGUUUUGACACUUUGGCAAAGGACAACUCAAAUAAUUUGCCAGCCUUUGUGUCGGCCAUAUCGCACCAUAAUGACCAAAGACCUUAUUUUACUGUCAACUAUCUAUGCUCAAGAUUCUUCUUAAAUUAGGAGCAUAUCUAUUUUGGGGUCAUAAUAUGUUUUUAUGGCACAUUUAAUUGGAAGGCUAACUGCAUUCCACUUCAAGAAUCUAACUUUGGCAAAAGUACAGCCUUUUGGCAUGUCAGGAAUUUCUAUAACAGGAACAUUGUGUAUGAUUGACUGAAUAACAAAGAAUUGAAAAACUGACUUACUGAAUCUACCAAUGGAAAACGAAACCUUAAAUGCUGUUCCUUGUUGCACCAAAUACUGCAUAUUUCCAGUUAGAAGAACCCAUUUAUUACAGCUACAGGGAAAGAAAAAAGAAUCACCUGCUAGUUUUUAUGGUAUGAGGUCCAACACUCAGAAAUAAGGUAAAAAUGUAAGGCAUCCUUGAUGAGAAGAUUGUAUGACAGCGAGAGAAAGCACACCUGUACACAGUCAUGUUACCUCACAUGAAUGCUAACAAGUGUGCUCUCUCUCUUUGUCAAGCAAUUGCAUGUCAAAGCUUGAACUAAACAUCUGCAGAACAAGGAAACAUGCUAAGAAAAUAUAGUAGCAAACAUAUAUUAAACUGAGAAUUUUCUGAUAACCAUGGUUUGCUCACCAAGGUGAUGGACUAUAAUGUAAAGAUGCUUUAGAAUCUCAAAAUGCAAUAAGCUGUCAAAAGCCUGCAAUUUGUUUUUUUUUUUUUUUUUUGGCAAAACAAACACCAUCCCAUGCUCGCUUCCCCAAAAUCAUCUUAAAAGCAUAAGCAAGUCCUCGAAAAUUAGUAGGAAACCUCAAAGUGAUUGAGCUCCCUUAUUCAUCUUAAAAGCAGCAAAAGAACAUCCACUAACCCAAAGUCUUUCUAGACUCAAAUUUACAAAUUAAUGAUAUCUAUAUCAACAACAAAAGAAUAAAAAUAAGUAAACAAAUAUAGACUAUCAAUCAAAUCCAAUUGCAUAACAAGUUCACCCAGAUUUUUCAGGCAUGAAAUUUCAAAUAAUAAAUAGAUUCCACAUCAUGCAAUAAAUUAAACAAGCAUAGCAAAGAAAGAGUUUAACCAAAUUGUCACAGUUUAUUAAUUUUCUUUAUAAGCAGCAACAGCACAUGUACAUAAAGACAAGACCACAUGCAUCAAAACAAAGACAGAUCGAUACCACUCCGAACGCAUGGACACCACAACAAGCUUAACACUCUACUUCAGAAGCCUAGCUAUAGCUCUUUCUUUUAGCAAAUUGAACUUGGAGCUUUCUACUAGAGGAAUAGUCACAAAAAAUCAAGGAAAACCAACAUAAAAACCUUAACUAGCUCCCUAUUUCUCUGCAACUAACAACAAGCAAGACCAAAAAAGGGCACAGAAAAAUUAUCCAACAGUUAAAUUUUGACAUAUAAAAGGAAGUAGUAUCACAUGCAUGGUAACAUUGAAAUAAGAGGUGAAUCUACCCCUUAUAAGCCUAUGAUUGAAAUGUUAAGUUUCUUAAGUAGGUAUAUCAUCAAAAACCUAAAGCAAUAUCUAUUGUCAUUGAUUACAAAACUAAGCAAGAAUCACUACCAAAAUAUAAAAACAACCAUCUGAAACUGCCAGAAGCAUAAAAAAAUUUCCACAGUUAUUGAUUUUAAAACAAAUACAAAACCCAAAUAUUGGUAUGAAAGCACGUUUUAGAGUCUAUCACUCGUUAAAAUUGUAAAACCGAAACUUUUCCACAGCAAAAUGCCACUGGCAGCAAACCCAACAUCUUCCAACCCCGAAAUCUGAAAACACGGCCUGAAUCAUGGGUAUAACAAAUUGAAAAGCAUAAUAACUAGUUCCGACUCCAAAAGACUAAAUGAGCGAGUACCUAAUAUAAUCCGAAGGGUUUGCAAAAAUAAAGAAAGAAAAAAAGGGUUCAUCCACCAUAUUACCUUGAAAACCCUAACCUUCCGUUUGGUUGCUGAGAAAGCCAUGUAAAACGCAUGAAAAUAAAAUGCUUAAUAACAUGCUUUAUACCGUUUUAGCUUCCNNNNNNNNNNNNNNNNNNNNNNNNNNNNNNNNNNNNNNNNNNNNNNNNNNNNNNNNNNNNNNNNNNNNNNNNNNNNNNNNNNNNNNNNNNNNNNNNNNNNGCCAAAUAGAUCUAUCCACUUCAACAACAAGAUUCAUUUCCUCGUGGGUUUCAGACAAUGGAAAACCACCCAUAUACAAUCAAACAACCUUUUUCUUUUCCUUUCCUUUCCUUCUUUUCCUUUCCUCCAUUUUCUCCGCAAACAAACACGAUAUAGUAGACUCAGGCAUGCACUUCAACAGAACCAAAAACAGCACACGAAAUGCAGAAAACUAAUAAAAAGUUACAUCAGAAUAGAUCAAAUGGACAAUACCAUGCACUGUGAUUCCCAGAUCUACUACCAACAAAAUCUCAAAACUCAAAACCCAUAAAACAAAAAAAAUAAAAAAUAAAAAAAUAAAACAAAAAAAAGCAACAGAAACACCAAAAAUAACAACAAUAAUUGGGAAGAUGAUCACCUUCAUCAUCACAUACAGAUAACCAUUCUGAAGAAAUACACAGAGAGAAUGAAAAUUUUUCAGGAGAUUUCAGAGCCUUUUUAUAGCAAGAGAAAAAACAGACAUGGAGGAAACCUAGAGUGCUCCCGUCUUUUUUCGACCUUAUGUUGACUGCUCCCGUCUUUUCCGCCCUACAUGUUGAGUCUUCGACAGCCAUAAAUCAUCCAUGUAGCCUGCCACCUUUAUAUGUACCAUUUUUUUUCAAUGGUCAUAAAUCGUUUAUGACAGAGCCAGAGCUAGUUGAAACUUGAAAGGGCAGCUUUAAAUUGAAGGGGUAAAGCCCUUCAAAGGAAGCGGAUUAAAAUGAUGAAAAUAUGGUUGGAGAGUUGACCAUCGGAUAAAAUGUCGGCAUCUCGAAAGUUGGUAACAAACCAGCACCCUCGGUCAUUGACUUUAGGCCAUUCAUGCAGUGUACAGGGUACGGCAGUUUUAAAAUAUAAUUAGAAAAUUAGAAAAUUAUGAGAAACGAUUUUUUCUUUUUUCUACUGAAAAUUUAUAAAUUGCAUGUAUAGUGGGAAUCAAGUUGGCCUUGCAAUUGGGAUAUCUGCUGGUGACAAAUUAUGGGUUUUUCGAUACAUUCUAGAGGUAUUUAUUUUAUAAUUAUUUUAUGGGUUACAACUUUGUAGGUUAUAAUUAUUUUAUGCUUCUGAGAACUAUGACCAUUUUUUUUUUCAAACAAUUGUAAAAGAAAAAAAAUUAUCGAUCAAUGUAUUUUCUUUAUAUUUUUAUUUUUAUUUGAGAAAAAUAUACUGAAAAUCUUUUACUAUUUUCUCUCAUUUGUUAAUUACUUGAACUACUUCUCUCCUUUCUUUAUAUUUUUAUUUUUAUUUGAGAAAAAUAUACUGAAAAUCUUUUACUAUUUUCUCUCAUUUGUUAAUUACUUGAACUACAUCUCUCCUAACCAAUUUCUCAGCAUAAAAUAACAUUCGCAUUUGUAAAAAUUACCCUCAUCCUUCAAAAAACAUAAAAAUGUCCCUCAACAAAAAUAGCUCUCAAGCUUUUUAUUUUUCUCCAAAACAAGGUUUCUUUUAUUUUCAUCAUACUCUUUUAUUUAUUUUUUCUAAUAAAGAAAGUUGAGCUUCUCUCAUUUACUCUUCAUUGCUGGUAACUAAAAUAAAUUAAAAGAGGCUAAUAAUUAAGAUUAUUUUUUCUUCACAUUUUUAUUCUUUAUAUAUUCUUUUUCUUCUAUGAUAAAAACAAAUCUAAAAACCUUACUUUACUAUUGUAAACUAAAAAAAAAAGGAACUCCUCAUUAUUAGCUAUAAAAAAUGACAUCAAAAGUCAAAUAAUGAUAGACAAUGAAUCUCAUGUAUGAAAAAUCAUAUUAAUUUCAACAUUAUUAAUGAAAAAUGACAUCAAAAGUCAAAUAAUGGUAGACAAUGAAUCUUGUGUAUGAAAAAUCAUGUUAAUUUCAACAUUAUUAAUCAAUUCUCAAUCAAAAUAUUCAAACUUAAUUUAACUAUGAUUGAGUUAAUUUAUAAAGACUUAAUUGGAGUUAAGUUUUCAAUCAAAAUAUUUACCUAGGUCUAACUAUGGUUAAGUUCCAUUUGAGAAGAACUUAACUAAGGUUAUGUUUUUAUUCACUUGAACUUAAUUAAGAUUUAGUUUUAUUUACAAAUAACUUAACAAGAGUCUAGUUCUCAAUUAAAAUAUUUAGCUAGACUUAACUAUAAUUGAAUUAUAAUUUAUGAUAAACUUAAAAGUUAAGUCAUUAAUAAAAAUAUUCAUUUGAAUUUAAAAUAUGGUUGUUUAAAUUUCAUUUGCACAUAACCAUUAGAUUAUGUUCAUAUUUAAGUUAAAAUUCUCAAUUUAAAAAUUUUAUGUGGACUUGAUUAUGAUUUUUAUUUAUAAAGAACUACCCACUAAGUUUUCAAAAUCAAAAUGUUUGCAAAAAUUUCACCUUAACUAUAGUUAAGAUGUACUUAUGAAGCUAUUCACCUAAAAUUUGAUCGAUCAUGUAUGUAUCAACAAUAUGCAAAGUGUUAAUAACAAAAUAUAUAAUAUUCUAAUCAAAAUGUUCACUUGGUUUGAAAAUAUGUUUUUACCAUAUCAAACUAUAUUAAAAAAAUUAAAAUUUCAAAUACACAGUAAAAUUCCUUCAAAUUAAGAGUCAAUCCUCAACAAAUAUGAACUCAUUAUAUGAGCAGCUUUUGAAAACAAAACAAUUGUCUUGUCAUUUUCUUUGGAAACCAGUUUAUACGAACCUUGAUUAAUGAGCUAGAUAGAUGGUAAUACAUCAAUUAUUCUCUAUAUUUGAUUAAGAACAGUCCACAAUCAUAUUGCAUGAAAAAUCAAUUAUCAAAAUUAAGAUUAUUAUUGAAAAUAAUUAUAUAAAACAUAAUGGUAAAAUGACGAGAUGAAAGUUUGAAUGUGUAUUCAUAUUCAUGUUGAUAAACAUUAUGCAAUUGUUCCAUGUGCGUAUCACCAUUUUCUCUAUAUAUAAUACACCACAACAUAUAAUACAAGAGAUAACAAACUAGUUAAAUGUGUGAUGACACCCUUCACUAGAUUAUCACAAUUAAUAUCUAUUAAUGAGACAUAUUAAUAUGGGUUCCAAGAAAAUUGUAUUUAUUCAAGAUAACAAAUGAUAUGGGUUGAAAGAUGAUAUUAAACAUCCUAAAACAUCCAAAAGAACCUAGAAGCCAAGUUAUGUUUUACAUUAAUAAUUUAUGAAGUGUAGCUUCUUUGAAAAUUUUAUUUUAGAUAUCCAAGUUAGAAAUUCUUUUGUUGAUCGAAUAAGUUCUCAAUUUAUUUAUCCAAAUAGCUUUUUUAUUUAAUUUUUUAACAUCUACUUUUAAGUUAUGCUAAGCAAAUUUAUUUUUCAAUAAAAAUUUCUUCACAAAUUUAUUCCUAAAAAGUGUAAAUUUAAUCCUAAUAUAACAUUUUUUUCCUAAGCUUUCUAUUAUUGAAUUAUCCCUACUAUGAAUCAUAGUCUAGCUCCUCUAAACACUACAUAAUAGUCAUAUAUUAAAAGACACUUCACAAAGACUCUAAAACUAAUAUUUCAUCAUGAAAAAAAAUAUGAAAUAUCUUUUAAUAUUAAUUAUCAUUUAAAACUACUAUACAAUAUAAGAAAACUCGUGCACAAUUUCCCAACAUCAUAGAAUUUGGAAAGCUUAGAUUUGAUCAAGAUUAGAAAAAUAAGAAGCACUUAACUACAGUCACUCAUAAAAGAAAAGUAAUUAUCAAACUAUAAAACUUAUUUUUGUAUACUAUAUUGUAAAAUGUUAUUCUCCACUUAUAUAAAUAACUUAAUUUCAAACAUAAAUGUGUAUUCUCAAUCAAUAUAUAUUCUACACAAGCAAGAAACAAAUUCCUAAAAUCUCUAAAAAUCCAUAAUUUUUUGUCUUAAAAUAGAAAAUAAACUCAAAUCAAAUGCUAAAAAUGUUAUCUAAUUCAUUAUAAAUUCAAAUCUAGUAAUAAUGAGAAUAUUUUAAAAAUUAUAAAUAUGUCAUUUAUUAUUUAAAACACACAUCAUACCUACUUUCCUAAAUUUUUAAAAAAAAUUAAGUAGUAAAUCAUUACAUAACAUUGUCCUACAAAUCAUAGUUGUUAUAUAUUAUCAAUUCAUUAAUUUGAAACAUACAUAAAUUCCCAAAAAUUUUAAAAUUUAGAAAACAAAGACUAUAGUACUUAUGAACUCAUUGACGACUAGUGGGUUGUGUUCUCUUUGUUAUUCUGAAGUCUCUCUCUUAUCACUUUUCAAAAACUUAUUUUUUGCUUCUUACUUGAAGAUUAGGCAUGAAGCAUUUUCAAAGAUGAAAGUACAACUAAAUCAAGAAGGGAAUAAGAAGUGAUGAAGGUUUUCUAGGGUUUUCAUUCUUUACCUCUAAAAGAGAAAGGAAAAUUUUGAUGGUUUGAAUUAAGAGAGAGAUGAGAAGUGAGAGAGGUUUGUUACAAUUUUCAAAGGGGUUUCUAUUCUCUACAUUUGAAACUAAAUGACGAAGAAUAAUUUGAAGGGUGAUUGAUUUCAAAAAGUGAAGAAGUUGAAAGUGCAGAAAAUAGCUUGGAGUUUCACACAAGAGUAAUAACGGUGUAUUCCAAGGAAACAAAAGAAAAAGAGGUUUUUUGUCCUACAAGGAUCAUUUUUAAUAUUUUUAAAGCAAAGGGUUAAUUAUGCAAAUAUAGAUGUUAUAACAACCCUUUUAACCAAAUAACCCUUUCAUGGACAUGUCUCAAACUCCGAUAUGAGAUUUUUUUUAACUUCCUAGAGCACAUUUUUUUCAUAAAAAAAUUUUGACACCAAGAUGAUAAUCUUUAAAAGCUUGAGGAAUUGAGGAUUCCAAUGGACACCCCCUAAACCCAAGCCAAACACAUGUAUCUUCCUUCACUCCCUCAAAGGAUAGGACAUCUCCUUGAAAGAUAUUACAAUAAUCUUAAAUAAUAAUAAUAAUAAAAGUAGUCUUAGUGACAAGGAGAUUAAAGUUUUUAGAUUUCAAAACAUCAUUGAUGAGAAUGGUUUGUUAAUUUUGAGAUUCGAAGAACAAUAGCAUAAGUAUAAUAUUAAUAAUAAAAAAUAAAAAUAAGAAAAAAAAGGUUUAAACUAUAUGUUUAUAUAUUUUUGUAAUAUAAACACAAAUUUGGUUAUUAUAUAAAGUUUCAACAUUAUGAAUUCCUUUUCAAAGUAAAUAAAAUGUAUGAAAAGCAUAAUAUUCCUUUGAAUACUUAUUAGAACAUAGUUCAUAAGCAAUAAGAUGAUGAAAUAAAGAUCAUGUCUAGUUUACACAUCAUGCGCAUAAAUCACUUACAUAACUCAUAUUCAACUUCUCAUUCAAAUAUGCAAAGCACACUCAACUUGCAAAAUUUAUGAUUUAAGAUGAUUCAAAAUAUAAGAAUAGGAUUAACAUUCAUAUUGUAAUUAAUAAUCUUUGGAAUUGUAGAAUGAACUACACAUUAUGUUUUAAAUGCAAAAUUAUAGAUUGAUUUUCGAGUUACCUUACCCCAAAUCCCCACUUCAAAAUAAUUUAUGUUCCUUCCAAUUUAGUGAUAAAACUUCUUCACAAUUUCCAAGAGUUCAUAAUUCCUAAGGAUAAAUAUACACCUAUGCUAGCCAAAUUAAAGGAAUAAUUAUAGUGAAUCCUCCACAUUAUAGUUCAAUCAUCUACUAGUUCUUAAAUGUUUAGCUCAAAGUAAGUUGUUUCAACUCUUUCCACCCUUUAUGACAAUGGAAGGAAUUGGACUCAAAGUUUUUCCAAUCAUAUUGCUCUAGACUAUCGGCAACAAUUUUGCUUCACAUACUCAAUUCAAGAACAACUCAAUAAAGCUAGAAUAAGUAUCUUCAAUAGAAACUACACACAAACAAAUGUUCAAUCUCAAUUUACCAUUCAAUACCAUGUUUUGAUUAUCUUUUUGCAGGCUUAAACUCAUAUUUUUAUUUUGAAUUUGCCAAUCCACUUUUGACCAAUGAGAUUUUAUGUUUUAUUUCCAAAGCUAUGGAUGUUUCUAAUGACAACUCAAAACUCUAUCAAAUCUCUUUGUGCGACUUUGUCAAAUAUGAAACCCCUUAUUUUAUUUAUUUACUUUUUUUUUAAUAGGUAAAUCAAUUGUAUUAGAAGUGCCUAAUGUAGGGUACACAAAAGUGUACAUUAUGUAUACAAGUUACUAAAGGCCAAAAAAGAAGAGGUAUACAUAAAAAAACACCCUCGCCUCACUUACAAUCCAGCCAAACAAUAAAAUCAAAUAAUGACAAUGAGUUAAAACCCAAAUGCACCGUAAAGAGGGGACACAUAAAAAAUAACACUCGCUUUAAUUACAAACCAGCCAAACAAAAUCAAAUAAUGACAAUGAGAUAAAACUUAAAUGCACUCUAACCCAAUCCAAGAACAUGUACAUAAAGGACCGCAUAAUUACUUGGCCUGCCAUUUCAGAAUCAUCGAAGGCUUUCUAAUUUCACUACUUCCAAGUGGCCCAAAAUAAGCACAAAGAAGUUUCUCUCCACAAUUCCUUUUCUUCCCUACAAAAUCUCCAUACCAACUAAGAAGGGCAUCAUUGAUUGAGAUGGCUGCACCCACUAAACACCAAAUAGAGCAAAAAUAAGCUACUAAAGCAUUGCUACUUUAGGGUAAUGAAGGAUGAUAUGAUUUGUUGAUUCCUUUUCUCCUUUAAAAAACAACACCUGCUCCACAAAUACCAACCCCCCAUUUUUAGCUGAUCCAGAGGUAGAAUUCUUCCUAACAAAGCUUCCCAAGAAAAAAAGCUAUUCCCCAUCAAGACCAAAGGGUUCCACACAAUGCUCAAAGGGAACACUUGGAAUAGUCUGCAAAUUGCUAGGGAUGAAUAAUAGGAUUUAACUGUAAUGAUGUCUCCCUUUGGCAUUGUCCAAACCUUAACAUCCUCAAAACCGCUUCUAAUCACGCGCCAUUGCAACCUUCUGAAAUAAAGCUUCCAUCUCCCCCUACUCCUAAUCAUUAUUCUUUGAAAAGUGAAGGUUAAAGUUUCCUCGAUUGUGCAUUUUUUUCUUGCACACAUUCACAUUGUUGCCAAAAACUAGUAUAAUAUUUCAAGCUUGUUCCUAACAUCUCCAACAUAUGGACAAACCAUAGUUCAAGUUUUAGCUGAAACUGAUCAUCACCAAUUUUGGCGAGGGGAGAUCUGGAAUUAUGUAGCAAUAGAAGGAUAUGCGAGUGAAUUCUCUUAAUGCAAAGUUCAAAGCAAUGUAAAAAUGAUAGAUCAGUUUUGAGCCUUUGGCAAAGGACAACUCAAAUAAUUUGCCAGCCUUUGUGUCAGCCAUAUUGAACCAUAAAGAGCAAACACCUUAUUUUAAUGUCAACUAUCUACGCUCAAGAUUCUCCAUAAAUUAGGAGCAUAUUUAUUUUGUAGCCAUGAUAUGUUUUUAUGACACAUUAAUUGGUUACACUAAAUUUCAGUACUUCCUGACAUCUCCAAAGGUGUUAUGUAAUUACGAACAAGAAAAAUGGAAGGGGGACUGCAUUCCACUUCAAGAAUCUAACUUCAGCAAAAGAACCUACGUUUUGGCACAUCAGGAAGUUCUAUAACAGGAACCUAGUGUAUGGUUGACUGAACAACACAGAAUUGAAAAACCGAAUUACUGAAUCCACUAACAGAAAACUGUACCUUAAAUUAUGUUCUUUGUUGCACCAAAAAUUGCAUAUUUCCAGUUAGAAAAAGAACC
This 23245-nucleotide long non-coding RNA is filed under the name Vitis vinifera (wine grape). Its description in RNAcentral is "long non-coding RNA (VVIN_LNC007607)". The stretch from base 13994 to 14089 matches the Rfam family "MIR535 microRNA precursor family". Lineage: Eukaryota; Viridiplantae; Streptophyta; Magnoliopsida; Vitales; Vitaceae. The record is from RNAcentral.